AGUGAAUGUCUUCUCCGGUCCA
RNAcentral lists this small RNA (22 nucleotides) under Arabidopsis thaliana (thale cress). Its description in RNAcentral is "ATSL307130". The record is from RNAcentral. Lineage: Eukaryota; Viridiplantae; Streptophyta; Magnoliopsida; Brassicales; Brassicaceae.